This is a non-coding RNA of Poecilia reticulata (guppy), 252 nucleotides long. The record is from RefSeq and is a predicted model, not a curated record. NCBI's taxonomy places the organism in Eukaryota, Metazoa, Chordata, Actinopteri, Cyprinodontiformes, Poeciliidae.
CGGGUACUCUGACUUCCUCCCAAAGAUCAAAAAUAUGACUGUCGCUACAGGAGAUCCUUCCUGCAAACAGCCAACAGCCUCUACAACAGCUCUUUGAAGAAACUUGGAUGAAUUUUGCUGAUUUGGCAUUUCCCUGUUUGUCUUCCCUGUUCUCUCACCCUCCACACUGCUGCCUCCCAGCUAGUCAAGGGAAAUGCAGCUGUCUGUCUUAAUUCUUGUACUGCUAGAGGUCUCUUUCUAUAAAGAGGGAGU